CAGGAGUCACAACAGAAUGAUGCGAAAAGGAAAAAGGAGAAGUGGCGCUGGUUACUUGGCUGCAGCUGUUAUUUUUACAUGUUAUUUGGCGCAAACCAUUGACUGUUACCGAUUGAAGAAAACAGAAAGAAGAGAAGGACGAAAUGACCCUCAUGCAGCCAAAUCAGCAGCUGUCCAGGAGGGUAGAAUUAUUUUCGGGAGAGACCUUGAGACAGGGUCUGGCCUCGACUCUCAGGUCAUAGAUGGAAUUAAGAAAACCUUCUCAAAAGUUUCUGCUGAAGCUGAAGCUGCUUAUCAAGCGGACUCUCCAGUCCAAUCAGGCUGGCCUGAAGGACAUGCAAAUGAUUCCGAUGGCGGAGAUGCAUCAUGGAAGCGUAUGACAUCCUCCCUGCAGUGUAGUAGGACCAAAUGAAGUUCAGUGCAGUGGGACAAGGUGCUUCACAGUUUACAGUGGACAAAGGAACCUCGCAUCUGUCCCAAAUCCCACCAACCUGUGGCUACACAA
Labrus bergylta (ballan wrasse) is the source of this 505-nucleotide non-coding RNA. The record is from RefSeq and is a predicted model, not a curated record. NCBI's taxonomy places the organism in Eukaryota, Metazoa, Chordata, Actinopteri, Labriformes, Labridae.